GAGUUUGAUCCUGGCUCAGGACGAACGCUGGCGGCGUGCCUAAUACAUGCAAGUCGAGCGAGCUUGCCUAGAUGAUUUUAGUGCUUGCACUAAAUGAAACUAGAUACAAGCGAGCGGCGGACGGGUGAGUAACACGUGGGUAACCUGCCCAAGAGACUGGGAUAACACCUGGAAACAGAUGCUAAUACCGGAUAACAACACUAGACGCAUGUCUAGAGUUUGAAAGAUGGUUCUGCUAUCACUCUUGGAUGGACCUGCGGUGCAUUAGCUAGUUGGUAAGGUAACGGCUUACCAAGGCAAUGAUGCAUAGCCGAGUUGAGAGACUGAUCGGCCACAUUGGGACUGAGACACGGCCCAAACUCCUACGGGAGGCAGCAGUAGGGAAUCUUCCACAAUGGACGAAAGUCUGAUGGAGCAACGCCGCGUGAGUGAAGAAGGGUUUCGGCUCGUAAAGCUCUGUUGGUAGUGAAGAAAGAUAGAGGUAGUAACUGGCCUUUAUUUGACGGUAAUUACUUAGAAAGUCACGGCUAACUACGUGCCAGCAGCCGCGGUAAUACGUAGGUGGCAAGCGUUGUCCGGAUUUAUUGGGCGUAAAGCGAGUGCAGGCGGUUCAAUAAGUCUGAUGUGAAAGCCUUCGGCUCAACCGGAGAAUUGCAUCAGAAACUGUUGAACUUGAGUGCAGAAGAGGAGAGUGGAACUCCAUGUGUAGCGGUGGAAUGCGUAGAUAUAUGGAAGAACACCAGUGGCGAAGGCGGCUCUCUGGUCUGCAACUGACGCUGAGGCUCGAAAGCAUGGGUAGCGAACAGGAUUAGAUACCCUGGUAGUCCAUGCCGUAAACGAUGAGUGCUAAGUGUUGGGAGGUUUCCGCCUCUCAGUGAUGCAGCUAACGCAUUAAGCACUCCGCCUGGGGAGUACGACCGCAAGGUUGAAACUCAAAGGAAUUGACGG
Molecule: ribosomal RNA, 948 nt
Filed under: uncultured bacterium
Lineage: Bacteria
Description: bacterial SSU rRNA
Rfam family: Bacterial small subunit ribosomal RNA
Source: RNAcentral